This 592-nucleotide ribosomal RNA is filed under the name Bullera hannae. RNAcentral's name for it is "eukaryotic LSU rRNA". The stretch from base 190 to 343 matches the Rfam family "5.8S ribosomal RNA". Lineage: Eukaryota; Fungi; Basidiomycota; Tremellomycetes; Tremellales; Bulleraceae. The record is from RNAcentral.
UCCGUAGGUGAACCUGCGGAAGGAUCAUUAGAGAUAUUAUAGAUCUAAGCUUGGCUCUAAUCAAGUCUUGCUUAGUGUCUAAAAUCUAAUAACCACUGUGAACCUGUCUUGUCAAGCUCUUUGGAGCCUGACUGAGCCAUUACAAACAUGUAUAAGUGUAAAUGAACGUAAACAAACAUAACAUAAAAUAACUUUCAACAACGGAUCUCUAGGCUCUCGCAUCGAUGAAGAACGCAGCGAAAUGCGAUAAGUAAUGUGAAUUGCAGAAUUCAGUGAAUCAUCGAAUCUUUGAACGCACCUUGCGCCUUUUGGUAUUCCGAAAGGCAUGCCUGUUUGAGUGUCAUGAAAUCAUCAAUCCCCAUGGGUUUUUACUAGCCUGUGGUGUGUAUUGGACGUGGGCGUCUGCCAGUAACAUGGCUCGCCUGAAAUGUGUUAGCUGGGAUUUCUUCCCUGAUCGGUUUAAAGCUGGACGUAAUAAGUUUCGUCCUGGCCCGAUUGGAAGGCCUGCUCCGAAUCACCAUUAUCUUUUUGACUCUGACCUCAAAUCAGGUAGGACUACCCGCUGAACUUAAGCAUAUCAAUAAGCGGAGGA